This 74-nucleotide transfer RNA is filed under the name Stenotrophomonas phage Mendera. RNAcentral's name for it is "tRNA-Gly". It matches the Rfam family "tRNA". Rfam says of the family: Transfer RNA (tRNA) molecules are approximately 80 nucleotides in length. Their secondary structure includes four short double-helical elements and three loops (D, anti-codon, and T loops). Lineage: Duplodnaviria; Heunggongvirae; Uroviricota; Caudoviricetes. The record is from RNAcentral.
GCGAGAGUAGUUUAACGGUAGAAUUUCUGCCUUCCAAGCAGACGGUUCGGGUUCGAUUCCCGGGUCUCGCUCCA